RNAcentral lists this ribosomal RNA (253 nucleotides) under uncultured bacterium. RNAcentral describes it as "partial 16S ribosomal RNA". It matches the Rfam family "Bacterial small subunit ribosomal RNA", at positions 524 to 776 of the family's 1533-position model. The record is from RNAcentral.
UACAGAGGGGGCAAGCGUUGUUCGGAAUUCCUGGGCGUAAAGGGCGCGUAGGCGGCCUGCUAAGUCGAACGUGAAAUCCCCGGGCUCAACCCGGGAACUGCGUCCGAUACUGGCAGGCUUGAAUCCGGGAGAGGGAUGUGGAAUUCCAGGUGUAGCGGUGAAAUGCGUAGAUAUCUGGAGGAACACCGGUGGCGAAGGCGGCAUCCUGGACCGGCAUUGACGCUGAGGCGCGAAAGCCAGGGGAGCAAACGGG